This 468-nucleotide ribosomal RNA is filed under the name uncultured bacterium. RNAcentral describes it as "partial 16S ribosomal RNA". It matches the Rfam family "Bacterial small subunit ribosomal RNA", at positions 28 to 507 of the family's 1533-position model. The record is from RNAcentral.
GAUGAACGCUGGCGGCGUGCUUAACACAUGCAAGUCGAACGGUGAAGGCGGAGCUUGUUCUGCUGGAUCAGUGGCGAACGGGUGAGUAACACGUGAGCAAUCUGCCCCUGACUCUGGGAUAAGCGCUGGAAACGGCGUCUAAUACUGGAUACGAGCUGCGAAGGCAUCUUCAGCAGCUGGAAAGAACUUCGGUCAGGGAUGAGCUCGCGGCCUAUCAGCUUGUUGGUGAGGUAACGGCUCACCAAGGCGUCGACGGGUAGCCGGCCUGAGAGGGUGACCGGCCACACUGGGACUGAGACACGGCCCAGACUCCUACGGGAGGCAGCAGUGGGGAAUAUUGCACAAUGGGCGAAAGCCUGAUGCAGCAACGCCGCGUGAGGGACGACGGCCUUCGGGUUGUAAACCUCUUUUAGCAGGGAAGAAGCGAAAGUGACGGUACCUGCAGAAAAAGCGCCGGCUAACUACGUG